CUCCAUUCCAAACUAGAAGCAUGACACGUAUUCCUUUUUGAAAUUUUUUUUAUUAGAUGACACGUAAAUUUUUUGGAUAACUUUUGAAAUUUGCAUUUCCUAUUUUAUCCUUACUUAAAACAAAAUUAAAUCCUAAACUUCUUCUUUUAACAUCUAACCAUACAUGAUAUUAUAUCUAAAUUACUCCCUCCAUAAUUUAUCACAUCCCACCCACCCCACAUAAUUUUCUAGAGAAAUCUACUGACCCUCAUCUACUCUCACUCUUCUAGAAAAGUGUACCCUUGUUCCUCAUCUAGGAAAUUAAAUCAUUUUCUCUCUCCUCAACUUUCAAUUAAAAACCCUAGAACUACUUGUAUUAUUGCUCUGUUCAACCUUCUUUCAUCAUCAGAGUGAGAAAUUUAAACUACUUCAUUUAACAGUUAUGGGUUUGUUCUUAGUUCAAAGAAUUGUAAGGAGUUUUGUUCGAAGUUUUUUCAGUUUUCGAAAGUAAUUUGGUCGACUCAACAAUUUAGUUUGUUCGAAUUACUUUCAACUUUUGGGAGUAAUUUGUUCAAUUUAUUUGGGAAUUUCGGGAGUAAUUUGACAUGGAUAAACGAAAGCUCCCUGAUUUCUCCAAUCCCAUAGAGGAUCUAAUUUCCCAUAAACUUUCCUGGGAAGAUGAUUCAUUUUUUAACAAAGUUGUUAUCGACCCCUGGUUGUGUUGGGGUUUUUGGAAGGGUUACACCCAAAAUCCAACAGAGUCGUGGUAGUUUAUGUGCUGCAGUUGGCUUUAUGGAGUUAGUGUGUGACCCGAUGAUCCCCUUCUUUAGCAACCUAUAAACUCUUGAUGGGCUAAAUCCUCUGCUACCCCGAGUCAACUACAGGUCUAAUGUCCCAAACGGGAUGGUUGUCGAUGCCGUCUUCCAGGUUUUUGUUCUAUCUAGUUUAGUAUUCAAUUAAACCUACCAAUUACGUAACAAUCAUACAGUAACCUUGAGUCAUUGUUGCAAGCAGUGGCGUCACCAGGAUUUUCGAACUGUGGGUUCGAAACUUCCGAAAUUUGAAAUCAUAAUUAACAAAGGAAUAAAAAUACAAUAAUGAAAACUAGUCUGCUGCACACAGCACACACAUGAUAAAUGCAGAAGGAAAUCAAUGAAUGAACGAAAUAGCAUAUGAAAUUAUGAAAACUAGAAGGCAGAAUAGCCGGGCUAAUGCUGUGACUUCUCCUGGCUCUUAUAGAAGUGUACUUAUACCUCUAAAGCUCUACCUUAUGUAGAGGAGUUGUAUUAUCACGUUUAAUUCUUAGUCGGUACAAGACUAAUUAUAAUCAUCUAAAUAAAAUCAUACCAAUCCAAGCAAUAACAUCAACCACUCUAGCUAAUUAGAAGGUAGAAAUUAGAUUGUUUAUUAUUCUUGAUCAACAAAUAGUUAGAAUGUUUACGAUAAGAUAUUGAGCAAGGUGAGGCCAUAUGUUGAAACUUUUCAAGAGAAUGUUUUUAUGUUACGAGGUAAUUAACAAAGUCUAGCCCAUUCAACAUUCUUACAACUUUUCAGAGGUAAUUAACAAAGUCAAGCCAAUUUAACACUCUUACAAUUUUUCAAGAGAAUAUUUAUACUUGAAAUAUAAGAUAAUUAUAACCAAAUUUCAGCAAUUUACAAAAAAUUCUGCAAUUUGUAAUGUAUAUUAGCAAUUUAGCAUAUGAAUUUCAAGUAUUAGCAUAAUAGCAUAUGUAUAUGUAUAUUAGCAAUUUAGCAUAUGAAUUUCAAUUUUCAAGUAUUAGCAUAUGUAUAUGUAUAUUACUAUAUUAGCAAUUUAGCAUAUGUAUAUUAGCAAAAAAUCCCCAAAUUCACUUACCCCUACAUACGGUGGGUCUGCUCCGCCACGGCGCCACUCAGGGGCGGAGCUACGGUGGUCAGCUGAGUGGCUGACUAGUGACUACUGGCCUACUGCCGACCUGCCGUGCUGCGGUGCUGGCUGAGUGCCUGAGUGGCUUCUGCGGACUUCUGCGGUGCUGCGCCCGUGCGCCGGGAAGAGAAGGAGGCAAGGAGGAAGAACGGGAAGAGAAGGAGCCAAGGAGGAAGAACGGGAAGAGAUUAAGAGAAGGAGGAAGAAGUUAGGGUUUUGCAAUUUGGGGGAAUGAGGAAGAGGAAAGCUGGAAAGCUGAGAGGCUAUGCCACCACCAGGAACCAGGUUACCCCCACUCUAGCAAGUUCAACUAAACAAUUAUCCCUUCAUCUCAGACGAGGAGCCAGUUGAAAACAGUUACUACGCGAACUCUGGAUGGGCGUUUGACGGAUCAGUCUAUCAUUGGGGUAUGGGAAAGGACCUUUGAUCAAUCAUCCCUGGAGCUUCCAAACAACAAUUACCCUAUUUUGUGUGUUGUAUUUCAUCCUUUAUGGAUUUUGGAUUUGGUUAUCUCAAACUCUACUUUGAUUAUGCUUAGCAAUUUAAUCAUUUAUGCCCAAAUUAUAAGUAUUAUUAGAUUCAAGUAGAUGUUUGUAUUAUUAAACUUGUCGGUCUAAUUAUGUGACUUGCCACUAAAUUUUUUUCAGA
Chenopodium quinoa (quinoa) is the source of this 2533-nucleotide long non-coding RNA. RefSeq lists it as uncharacterized. The record is from RefSeq and is a predicted model, not a curated record. NCBI's taxonomy places the organism in Eukaryota, Viridiplantae, Streptophyta, Magnoliopsida, Caryophyllales, Amaranthaceae. The transcript has 2 exons.